CCUACGGGUGGCAGCAGUGAGGAAUAUUGGUCAAUGGACGCAAGUCUGAACCAGCCAUGUCGCGUGAAGGAUGACUGCCCUACGAGUUGUAAACUUCUUUUAUACGAGAGUAAAGGGAGACACGUGUGCCUUUCUGAAAGUACUGUAUGAAUAAGGAUCGGCUAACUCCGUGCCAGCAGCCGCGGUAAUACGGAGGAUUCAAGCGUUAUCCGGAUUUAUUGGGUUUAAAGGGUGCGUAGGCGGGCGUUUAAGUCAGCGGUGAAAGUCCGUGGCUCAACCAUGGAAUUGCCGUUGAUACUGGUGGGCUAGAGUAUGUUUGCGGCAGGCGGAAUGCGUGGUGUAGCGGUGAAAUGCUUAGAGAUCACGCAGAACCCCGAUUGCGAAGGCAGCCUGCCAAGCCAUGUCUGACGUUGAGGCACGAAAGCGUGGGGAGCAAACAGGAUUAGAUACCCCAGUAGUC
Molecule: ribosomal RNA, 460 nt
Filed under: uncultured bacterium
Lineage: Bacteria
Description: partial 16S ribosomal RNA
Rfam family: Bacterial small subunit ribosomal RNA
Source: RNAcentral